UUGUGCCUGAACGCGUUCAUUGAACGAUAGUUCAUGAACUCGUUCAUAUUUUCGGCAAACGUGAACUGAACGUACUGUAUUACUGCCUGAUGAACGUUACUGUGAACUCGUUCAUUCUGGUGUCUGUGAACGGCACGCUCACUCGGUUUAACUUUGUUCAAUAGGGGGAUUAUUUGUUUAUCAACACGGCGGAUGCGUGCGCAGAAUGAUCGCCAAAAGAAAAUUUGUUUGACCGGUUGCCAUGGUUAUCUCUGUGUGGUUCAUUUGCAGUUGCGGUGUUGUCAGCUUACUGUUACAUUAAACUGUAAUCAGAAAACGUGGUUAUAUGCUAUAGACCCUAUAGUAUCUGUGGUAUAAAGGCUGGGACGAAUUUCAAAUUAUAAAUAUGUACACUUUAUGUUGAAAUAUAGGCCGUCGCGAUUCCAAUUGAAACGAAUGGCGCGGUGAAUAGUCUUCAAAAUGAGAGCUGGUAAAUUGGGUAGAAUGGAUAAAACUGUUAUCAGACAACGCGGUUAUAUGCUAUAUAGACCCUAGAGAGUAUCUGUGGUAUAAAGGCUGGGACGAAUUUCGAAUUUAAAUAUGUAGCUACAAUGUAUCCUUUAAAUACGACCAUGGAACAGAUGGCCAAUGUGAAUAAUAGAUACGUGUGUGGACCGCUGAAGAGGUAAAACUUUUCCUUGCGCUUAUCGAAGAAAAAAACAUUACAGCUAUUUUAGAUGGAAAACAACAACGCAAUUCCACUAUAUAUCAGGACCUAAGAGAGAGCAUGUUAUCAAAAGGAUACGACAAGCCCUGGAAUGUGUGCAGGUUUCCGCUCCAACCACUUGAUGGAAACGCACCUAAUUCGAAUUUCUUUUUUGCGAACUUUCUAAAGAUUUGCUUCACCUU
Long non-coding RNA from Gadus macrocephalus (Pacific cod), 888 nucleotides. RefSeq lists it as uncharacterized. Lineage: Eukaryota; Metazoa; Chordata; Actinopteri; Gadiformes; Gadidae. The record is from RefSeq and is a predicted model, not a curated record. The transcript has 2 exons.